RNAcentral lists this ribosomal RNA (490 nucleotides) under uncultured bacterium. Its description in RNAcentral is "partial 16S ribosomal RNA". It matches the Rfam family "Bacterial small subunit ribosomal RNA", at positions 30 to 507 of the family's 1533-position model. The record is from RNAcentral.
AUUGAACGCUGGCGGCAGGCCUAACACAUGCAAGUCGAACGGUAACAGGAAGAAGCUUGCUUCUUUGCUGACGAGUGGCGGACGGGUGAGUAAUGUCUGGGAAACUGCCUGAUGGAGGGGGAUAACUACUGGAAACGGUAGCUAAUACCGCAUAACGUCGCAAGACCAAAGAGGGGGACCUUCGGGCCUCUUGCCAUCGGAUGUGCCCAGAUGGGAUUAGCUAGUAGGUGGGGUAACGGCUCACCUAGGCGACGAUCCCUAGCUGGUCUGAGAGGAUGACCAGCCACACUGGAACUGAGACACGGUCCAGACUCCUACGGGAGGCAGCAGUGGGGAAUAUUGCACAAUGGGCGCAAGCCUGAUGCAGCCAUGCCGCGUGUAUGAAGAAGGCCUUCGGGUUGUAAAGUACUUUCAGCGGGGAGGAAGGGAGUAAAGUUAAUACCUUUACUCAUUGACGUUACCCGCAGAAGAAGCACCGGCUAGCUCCGUG